UCAAUCAACCGCUAACUACUUCUACUCUUCUCCUCCACCUCCGGUUAAACACUACCAAUACAAAUCUCCACCUCCUCCUGUUAAGCAUUACUCUCCCCCUCCAGUUUACCAUUCUCCACCACCACCUAAAAAACACUACGAAUACAAAUCCCCUCCUCCUCCGGUCAAGCAUUAUUCUCCACCACCGGUUUAUCACUCUCCACCACCACCAAAAAAGCACUACGAGUACAAAUCCCCUCCUCCUCCGGUUAAGCACUACUCUCCACCACCGGUUUACCAUUCUCCACCACCACCAAAGAAGCACUAUGUGUACAAAUCCCCUCCUCCUCCGGUUAAACACUAUUCUCCUCCUCCUGUUUACCAUUCUCCACCACCACCCAAGAAGCACUAUGUGUACAAAUCUCCACCCCCACCUGUUAUGCACUACUCUCCCCCACCAGUCUACCAUUCACCACCACCACCCAAAAAACAUUACGUAUACAAAUCUCCUCCUCCUCCGGUUAAACACUACUCACCACCUCCAGUUUACCAUUCCCCACCCCCACCUAAAAAGCAUUAUGUCUACAAAUCUCCUCCACCACCGGUUAAACACUACUCUCCUCCCCCGGUUUACCACUCUCCACCACCACCAAAGAAACACUACGUGUACAAAUCACCUCCUCCUCCAGUUAAGCACUAUUCUCCACCUCCAGUUUACCACUCUCCACCACCACCAAAGAAACACUACGUGUACAAAUCCCCUCCUCCCCCGGUUAAGCACUACUCCCCUCCUCCAGUUUACCAUUCCCCACCCCCACCAAAGAAACACUACGUCUACAAAUCUCCUCCUCCUCCAGUGAAACACUACUCUCCCCCUCCGGUUUACCAUUCCCCACCACCACCAAAGAAACAUUACGUGUACAAAUCCCCUCCUCCUCCAGUUAAACACUAUUCCCCACCACCGGUUUACCAUUCUCCACCACCACCAAAGAAGCACUACGUCUACAAAUCCCCUCCUCCUCCGGUUAAGCACUACUCUCCUCCUCCGGUUUAUCAUUCCCCACCACCACCUAAGAAAAAGUACGUAUAUAAGUCACCUCCUCCUCCAGUCCACCACUACUCUCCCCCACACCAUCCUUACCUCUACAAAUCUCCUCCUCCUCCAUACCACUAUUAGAAUUCUCUGUCACGGUA
This 1173-nucleotide long non-coding RNA is filed under the name Brassica napus (rape). RNAcentral describes it as "long non-coding RNA (BNAP_LNC025602)". Lineage: Eukaryota; Viridiplantae; Streptophyta; Magnoliopsida; Brassicales; Brassicaceae. The record is from RNAcentral.